CCCAGGUCAGGCGGGGCUACCCGCUGAAUUUAAGCAUAUCAAUAAGCCGGAGGAA
This 55-nucleotide ribosomal RNA is filed under the name Saponaria calabrica. RNAcentral's name for it is "partial 28S ribosomal RNA". RNAcentral also lists the same sequence under 3 other names. The record is from RNAcentral. Lineage: Eukaryota; Viridiplantae; Streptophyta; Magnoliopsida; Caryophyllales; Caryophyllaceae.